RNAcentral lists this ribosomal RNA (373 nucleotides) under uncultured bacterium. Its description in RNAcentral is "bacterial SSU rRNA". It matches the Rfam family "Bacterial small subunit ribosomal RNA", at positions 527 to 898 of the family's 1533-position model. The record is from RNAcentral.
GGGGGGAGCAAGCGUUGUUCGGAAUCACUGGGCGUAAAGGGCGUCUAGGCGGUCAGGUAAGUGAGAUGUGAAAUGCCCCGGCUCACCCGGGGACCGGCAUCUCAUACUGCUUGGCUUGAGUACGGGAGAGGAUGUGGGAAUUCCUGGUGUAGCGGUGAAAUGCGUAGAUAUCAGGAGGAACACCGGUGGCGAAGGCGCACAUCUGGCCCGAUACUGACGCUAAAGCGCGAAAGCUAGGGGAGCAAACGGGAUUAGAUACCCCGGUAGUCCUAGCCGUAAACGGUGAUCACUAGGUGUUGGAGGCAUCGACCCCUCCAGUGCCGCAGCUAACGCAUUAAGUGAUCCGCCUGGGGAGUACGGCCGCAAGGUUGAA